This 726-nucleotide ribosomal RNA is filed under the name uncultured bacterium. Its description in RNAcentral is "bacterial SSU rRNA". It matches the Rfam family "Bacterial small subunit ribosomal RNA", at positions 63 to 825 of the family's 1533-position model. The record is from RNAcentral.
CGAACGAGCACAGAACUUUUGGAGGUGCUGAGUGGCGGACGGGUGAGUAACGCGUGGGUACCUGCCUUGCAGAGGGGGACAACAGUUGGAAACGACUGCUAAUACCGCAUAAUACCGCAUGAUUAAAGAUUUAUCGCUGCAAGAUGGACCCGCGUCUGAUUAGCUAGUUGGUGGGGUAACGGCCUACCAAGGCAACGAUCAGUAGCCGGCUUGAGAGAGUGAACGGCCACAUUGGGACUGAGACACGGCCCAGACUCCUACGGGAGGCAGCAGUGGGGAAUAUUGCACAAUGGGGGAAACCCUGAUGCAGCGACGCCGCGUGAGUGAAGAAGUAUUUCGGUAUGUAAAGCUCUAUCAGCAGGGAAGAUAAUGACGGUACCUGACUAAGAAGCCCCGGCUAACUACGUGCCAGCAGCCGCGGUAAUACGUAGGGGGCAAGCGUUAUCCGGAUUUACUGGGUGUAAAGGGAGCGUAGGUGGCAAGGCAAGUCAGAUGUGAAAACCCGGGGCUCAACCCCGGGACUGCAUUUGAAACUGUCUAGCUAGAGUGCAGGAGAGGUAAGUGGAAUUCCUAGUGUAGCGGUGAAAUGCAUAGAUAUUAGGAGGAACACCAGUGGCGAAGGCGGCUUACUGGACUGUAACUGACACUGAGGCUCGAAAGCGUGUGGAGCAAACAGGAUUAGAUACCCUGGUAGUCCACGCCGUANACGAUGAAUACUAGGUGUCG